GAUGAACGCUGGCGGCGUGCCUAAUACAUGCAAGUCGAGCGAACGGACGAGAAGCUUGCUUCUCUGAUGUUAGCGGCGGACGGGUGAGUAACACGUGGAUAACCUACCUAUAAGAGUGGGAACACUUCGGGAAACCGGAGCUAAUACCGGAUAAUAUUUUGAACCGCAUGGUUCAAAAGUGAAAGACGGUCUUGCGGUCAGUUAUAGAUGGAUCCGCGCUGCAUUAGCUAGUUGGUAAGGUAACGGCUUACCAAGGGGACGAUGCAUAGCCGACCUGAGAGAGUGAUCGGCCACACGGGAGCUGAGACACGGUCCAGGCGCCUACGGGAGGCAGCAGUAGCGAAUCUUCCGCAAUGGGCGAAAGCCUGACGGAGCAACGCCGCGUGAGUGAUGAAGGUCUUCGGAUCGUAAAACUCUGUUAUUAGGGAAGAACAUAUGUGUAAGUAACUGUGCACAUCGUGACGGUACCUAAUCAGAAAGCCCCGGCUAACUACGUG
Molecule: ribosomal RNA, 497 nt
Filed under: uncultured bacterium
Lineage: Bacteria
Description: partial 16S ribosomal RNA
Rfam family: Bacterial small subunit ribosomal RNA
Source: RNAcentral